This 253-nucleotide ribosomal RNA is filed under the name uncultured bacterium. RNAcentral describes it as "partial 16S ribosomal RNA". It matches the Rfam family "Bacterial small subunit ribosomal RNA", at positions 524 to 776 of the family's 1533-position model. The record is from RNAcentral.
UACGUAAGGACCGAGCGUUGUCCGGAAUUAUUGGGCGUAAAGGGAGCGCAGGCGGUUGGAAUAGUUUGAAGUGAAAGGCCACGGCUUAACCGUGGAAGGUCAUUGGAAACUGUCCAACUUGAAUGCAGAAGAGGUAAGUGGAAUUCCAUGUGUAGCGGUGAAAUGCGUAGAUAUAUGGAGGAACACCAGUGGCGAAGGCGACUUACUGGUCUGUGAUUGACGCUGAGGCUCGAAAGCGUGGGUAGCAAACAGG